Molecule: ribosomal RNA, 373 nt
Filed under: uncultured eukaryote
Lineage: Eukaryota
Description: partial 18S ribosomal RNA
Rfam family: Eukaryotic small subunit ribosomal RNA
Source: RNAcentral
CAAGAGCGUAUGUAAAAGUUGUUGCAGUUAAAAAGCUCGUAGUUGAACCUUGGGUUUGGUUGGCCGGUCCGCUUUUUUGCGAGUACUGGAUUCAACCGAGCCUUUCCUUCUGGCUAACCAGUCGUUUCGGCGGCUGGCGAACCAGGAUUUUACUUUGAGAAAAUUAGAGUGUUCAAAGCAGGCAUUAGCUUGAAUAUAUUAGCAUGGAAUAAUAGAAUAGGACGUUAUGGUUCUAUUUUGUUGGUUUCUAGGACCAUCGUAAUGAUUAAUAGGGACGGUCGGGGGCAUCAGUAUUCAGUUGUCAGAGGUGAAAUUCUUGGAUUUACUGAAGACUAACUACUGCGAAAGCAUUUGCCAAGGACGUUUUCAUUAA